GACGAACGCUGGCGGCGUGCUUAACACAUGCAAGUCGAACGGAAAGGCCCUGCUUUUGUGGGGUGCUCGAGUGGCGAACGGGUGAGUAACACGUGAGUAACCUGCCCUUGACUUUGGGAUAACUUCAGGAAACUGGGGCUAAUACCGGAUAGGAGCUCCUGCUGCAUGGUGGGGGUUGGAAAGUUUCGGCGGUUGGGGAUGGACUCGCGGCUUAUCAGCUUGUUGGUGGGGUAGUGGCUUACCAAGGCUUUGACGGGUAGCCGGCCUGAGAGGGUGACCGGCCACAUUGGGACUGAGAUACGGCCCAGACUCCUACGGGAGGCAGCAGUGGGGAAUAUUGCACAACGGGCGGAAGCCUGAUGCAGCAACGCCGCGUGCGGGAUGACGGCCUUCGGGUUGUAAACCGCUUUCGCCUGUGACGAAGCGUGAGUGACGGUAAUAGGUAAAGAAGCACCGGCUAACUACGUG
Molecule: ribosomal RNA, 468 nt
Filed under: uncultured bacterium
Lineage: Bacteria
Description: partial 16S ribosomal RNA
Rfam family: Bacterial small subunit ribosomal RNA
Source: RNAcentral